GUAACAAGGUCUCCGUAGGUGAACCUGCGGAGGGAUCAUUACACAAAUAUGAAGGCGGGCUGGAACCUCUCGGGGUUACAGCCUUGCUGAAUUAUUCACCCUUGUCUUUUGCGUACUUCUUGUUUCCUUGGUGGGUUCGCCCACCACUAGGACAAACAUAAACCUUUUGUAAUUGCAAUCAGCGUCAGUAACAAAUUAAUAAUUACAACUUUCAACAACGGAUCUCUUGGUUCUGGCAUCGAUGAAGAACGCAGCGAAAUGCGAUAAGUAGUGUGAAUUGCAGAAUUCAGUGAAUCAUCGAAUCUUUGAACGCACAUUGCGCCCUUUGGUAUUCCAAAGGGCAUGCCUGUUCGAGCGUCAUUUGUACCCUCAAGCUUUGCUUGGUGUUGGGCGUCUUGUCUCUAGCUUUGCUGGAGACUCGCCUUAAAGUAAUUGGCAGCCGGCCUACUGGUUUCGGAGCGCAGCACAAGUCGCACUCUCUAUCAGCAAAGGUCUAGCAUCCAUUAAGCCUUUUUUUCAACUUUGACCUCGGAUCAG
This 537-nucleotide ribosomal RNA is filed under the name Alternaria alternata. RNAcentral describes it as "eukaryotic LSU rRNA". The stretch from base 207 to 360 matches the Rfam family "5.8S ribosomal RNA". Lineage: Eukaryota; Fungi; Ascomycota; Dothideomycetes; Pleosporales; Pleosporaceae. The record is from RNAcentral.